GUGGACUAAGUUAGAUCGUCCCAUCAUGAGUGAGGCCUAGACCAAAUGGAUUACAUGGGGCUCGAAGAAACAACAAAUAACUUCCAAAUUUAUCAUAAACGUUGAAAUAGGAUGUCAAUGUUGCUUUAUGAAAAUGUCCCGGGCUGUUCAGGUGAAGAAUUACACUAUGAUAUUCAAGUUUUUUCGCAUCUACAGACGAACAUAGAAUGACAUUGUUCUCGGUAUGUCAAUGUCUUUGGUAUUUAGACUUAGGUUCAUCAUCC
Molecule: long non-coding RNA, 263 nt
Filed under: Olea europaea (common olive)
Lineage: Eukaryota; Viridiplantae; Streptophyta; Magnoliopsida; Lamiales; Oleaceae
Description: long non-coding RNA (OEUR_LNC008694)
Source: RNAcentral